This 406-nucleotide ribosomal RNA is filed under the name uncultured bacterium. RNAcentral describes it as "partial 16S ribosomal RNA". It matches the Rfam family "Bacterial small subunit ribosomal RNA", at positions 30 to 526 of the family's 1533-position model. The record is from RNAcentral.
AUUGAACGCUGGCGGCAGGCCUAACACAUGCAAGUCGAACGAGUGGCGGACGGGUGAGUAAUGUCUGGGAAACUGCCUGAUGGAUGGGGAUAACUACUGGAAACGGUAGCUAAUACCGCCUACCAUCGGAUGUGCCCAGAUGGGAUUAGCUUGUUGGUGGGGUAACGGCUCACCAAGGCGACGAUCCCUAGCUGGUCUGAGAGGAUGACCGGCCACACUGUAACUGAGACACGGGCCAGACGCCUAAGUGAGGCAGCAGGGGGGAAUAUUGCACAAUGGGUGAAAGCCUGAUGCAGCCAUGCCGCGUGUAUGAAGAAGGCCUUCGGGUUGUAAAGUACUUUUGGUGGGGAGGCGUUACCCGCAGAAGAAGCACCGGCUAACUCCGUGCCAGCAGCCGCGGUAAUAC